Long non-coding RNA from Nothoprocta perdicaria, 223 nucleotides. RefSeq lists it as uncharacterized. The transcript is spliced from 3 exons. NCBI's taxonomy places the organism in Eukaryota, Metazoa, Chordata, Aves, Tinamiformes, Tinamidae. The record is from RefSeq and is a predicted model, not a curated record.
GCCAUCUGACUUGCACACUGAUCUAGGCCAAUGCUCUACCAAUACAYACAAAGAAGUAUUUAACAACAAAGAAUAAAUCACUUCAGAUGAAUCUUUUAUAGUAGCUGAUUGAAGCAGCUAAAUGGAUUAUUUAACCUGAGUUACAAGUCACAUGUAUCUCAUCUUCAUCACUUCUCAAGGUACUGCAGUUUUACUCAGAAAAAGGCACAGAAAUACGCUGCAG